RNAcentral lists this unclassified non-coding RNA (808 nucleotides) under Hevea brasiliensis (rubber tree). Lineage: Eukaryota; Viridiplantae; Streptophyta; Magnoliopsida; Malpighiales; Euphorbiaceae. The record is from RNAcentral.
GAAUUUUCGCCCGAUACUUUGCGUGGUUUGAGUCCUUGACUUGGAAAUUUCUCUAACAUUGAUUAAGAGUCGCAAAAAAUGGUAACAUUUAGGAUUCUUACCUCUUUCAUAAUCUGAAGUGCCAUAAGAAACGCCUCAUAUUCUGCCACAUUAUUGGUGGCUUGGAAAGCUAACGGAGUUGCAUAAUGGAGCUUGAUGUGGCAAGGUCCUUCUAACACGAUUCCAAUCCCAGCUUCUACUGAUCCGACAGCUCCAUCCACCCAGACCUUCCAUUCUUCCUGUAUUUCUGUUUCUUCUUGUAUUGACGGUGUCAUUUCUACUACAAAAUUAGCUAAUGCCUGAGCUUUAAGAGUUGAUUCGGGAACAUAUCUAAUGUCAUAUGCACCCAAAAUCACUGAUCAUGUAGCCAAACAGCUUGAUGUCUCUGUGCGAUGCAAUAUCUUUCUCAAAGGAUAAUUGUUUUGGACUUCAUUAGUACGUGACUCAAAGUAUGGUCUCAAUUUUGUUGCUGCUGACAGUACCUGACUAUUGUAGGAUAGCUGAGUUUAGCUAUUUUCAAUACUUGACUAGUGUAGUAGAUUGGCCUCUGCUCACCAUCUUCUUACCGAACCAGAAUCGAACUAAUCGUCUCCUGAGCAGUGUUAUUAAGGCGAAAGGCGCCACAAAGGUGUGAGGCGCCACUGACGUAAUUUUUUAUAUAUAUAACAUAAAAAUAUCAUACGUUUAACUAAUUUAAUAUGUAAAAAGGAAUAUUGAAAAGAAAAAACAUGUUAUUUGCACUAUAGUAAUAUAAGAGAAAUAGAAAGUA